GGGGAUGAAUGUCUUGACAGAGGACUCGUCUAAAAAAGGCAAGCCGAGCGUCCUUGAAUCUCGUUAAACUUUGAGGAAACAAAUAAGCGCCAACUUAUUUAACAAACCUGCGUUAGCAUACGUUUAACGCCAUCUUCACCGCUAACUCCCAAUAGGCGGAUGAAGGUGUCAUAUUAUUGGGAUAGAUGAUUUUUCGCCCCUAAAAUCAUUGAGGCAAUGGGGAUAAGAUAAUUAAUUUUUUUUCUGCUUCAUAUUUAAUUAUCCGAAAAUAAAAACAGAAUAAACUUGUAGAAUUAUUUUAGCCGAUCUUUUGGACGGGGCUUCAACGCCCCCAUCUCCACAC
This 343-nucleotide transfer-messenger RNA is filed under the name Candidatus Nealsonbacteria bacterium RIFCSPHIGHO2_01_FULL_38_55. It matches the Rfam family "transfer-messenger RNA". Rfam says of the family: Bacterial tmRNA, also known as 10Sa RNA or SsrA, is named for its dual tRNA and mRNA-like properties. Its role is to liberate the mRNA from a stalled ribosome. RNAcentral also lists the same sequence under 3 other names. Lineage: Bacteria; Candidatus Nealsoniibacteriota. The record is from RNAcentral.